CUGAAAGAUGUUUUAUGACUCACAGUUCUCAAGAGGAUGGGCAUGCCACACCACACUGUUACUGAACCAGGUUCAUUUUUGCCUGCCUCCCAGAAAUCCAACCACCAAGACAACAAGAUUGCAGCAGAGAGGGAGUUUCAUCACAAGGCAGCCAUGCGAGGAAGCAAGAGCAUGAGUCUCAAAUCUGCUUCCCUGAAAACAGGGACUUAGGAAUAUUUAUGGGGUAGGGGGCAAGGUGGUCUGAAAUGUGGAGAGAGCUGAUUGGAGGUGAGAAGAGGUGAGAUGACUGAUGAUCCGUGCAAGUGUAGUCAGACUUCAUGCCUCUUCAUGGGACCCAGGUUCACAAAAUGGCAAUAUUAGCAUGAUCUGAGGGUGGAGAUUUUAGCCUCUUGAGGUCAAAACGUUGCCAAUUGGACAUCUGCACAGGCCUGGUUGAUGAGCUGGUGGUCUCAAUCAGCCUGAAGUGGACGAGGAGUUCUAAUUCCUGAAAAACAGCUCACACACCCAUUACCAUGGUGACCCAGGCUCCAGGGAGAUGUUAACUAUAGGAACUUAGUGGGAGUCAAAUAGCAUAUUGCCUAAACAGCACAGUUAACAAUGGGUGGGUUAAACAGCUAAAAGCUAUAAUCAGUAAUUGCAAAAAGGAAAAAUCUUUAGUACCUAGGUACUUAAUCAUCAAUGGCUGUUUGCCCAUUUCAACACAGGGCCAGGUGGGGAAGCACCAGGGUCUGUGAGGAGCAGAAGGAGAGGAGAAGGCACCGGCUGGAACUUUGAGUCAUUUCCACAGGAGGAAUGGGCACACAGGGCAGGGAAGUUUGAACAAGUUUAGGAUUGAAUCGUCUGAGUAAUUACAGUGGGUUCUGGCCCUGGGGGGCUCUGGGGCAGGGGAAACGUUGGCUGGUGUGUGAGAGUCACUUACAGAGGGGGCUGGGGUGUGACCUCUGGCUUGUUUGGCUUGUAUGUGAAAGGUGUGCUCUCCGGCAAGUUGUUUGCUGUCUCUAGGAACUAGCUGGCCCUGGAAGGGGCAGUGUCUCCCAGCCAGCAAGGCCCCCACGAUGUCAAAGAAUCACAAAGUACAAGAUAAAAAACAUGAUUAAUGCAGUGUAGAAGUGUGUCAAAUGUUUCCUCAGAGUUAUUCCCAUCUGUGUAUGUGUGCUUUCCUUUUCACUAACUGAUAUGACAUAACACAUGAAGAUAUUUCUUAAUACUUAAAAAAUACUUCAUUCUCAAAAGUAAAAGCAAAAAAUAUAAAAAACUUACUGCUUUGUGUAUGUAACGUACCCUCUUCACGGAUGCCAGACUGUUCUAACCAUCUAAAUGUCACGGCAUCCCAACCCCACUUAAGUCGCUCACACAGCUCCUCUGAAGCUGAAUUCCUCAGGAGGACACACAUAGGCCCUUGCAACAGGGGCCAGGGCAGAUAUUCAGCUCCAACUCCCGCCACUAAGAAGAGCAAACUAUUCGCCUUUUAUCUACACACAAAAAUGAUAAAAAUCCCAGGGCUGUCCCGGUGGUGCAGCGGUUAAGUUCACACGUUCCACUUCGGCGGCCCAGGGUUCACCCGUUUGGAUCCCAGGUGUGGACCUAAGCACCACUUGGCAAGCCAUGCUGUGGUAGGCAUCCCACAUAUAAAGUAGAGGGAGAUGGGCAUGGAUGUUAGCUCAGGGCCAGUCUUCCUCAGCAAAAAGAGGAGGAUUGGUGGCAGAUGUUAGCUCAGGGCUAAUCUUCCUCAAAAAGAACCCCAAAAAGGUAAAAAUCCCUCACAUUAUCAUUCACUAUGUGCUGGGCACUCCACUAAGCAUUUACACGCAUUUCUCCAUUUAAUCCUUCAAAUACUUCAUUUUACAUGCUAGAAAGUCGAGUCUCAGAACAUAAGUAACUUGGCCCAGCUCACGCACUCAGGAAGUGGUGGAGGAGGACAUGCAGCAGCCUGGUCCUUUCAGGACCCUCACAGGUGGCGGCCUUCCUCUGGCCUUUUCAUCUUACUGUUCCUCUCAUGGAUGUCCUGCUCCUCCCUCCCCCACUGUGACCCGAGGUGGGGGGGGGGGGGGCGCCUCAGCUGGAUGGAAUGUUGACAGGUUUCUUCCUGACUCUAUGCCCCUGACCUCCUUUUCCUCAGAGCAUUUCCUUUAGAAAACUUGUCGUUGUAAAUUCUUUUUCUGCCCCUUUGAGAUGUAAAUCUCCCCCCAGCACCUGCCAGUUUUACAGCCCAGGAAAGUCUGUCUCAAAGACGUGGGAGCCAGCACUCGGAAAGGUGACCAUCAAGGAGAUGCCCCUUGUCUCCCCAUCUCCGUGGGAGGGCAGGAGCCUAACUUGGACACAGCCUCUGUGAAGCUCCCCACCCCACCAGCAGGGGGCAGCCUCCCCUCCACCGUGGUCUCCCCCAUUGGAGCUCCUCUCCGGCCCCACUGAGAUCAUCUGCCUUCAUGACCACAUCGCUGGUCCACCUGUGCACCUCACUCAUCUGUAUACUUCUCUUUUCCCAGCCCUCUGGCAGCCAGCAGAGCACAUGCCACUCAGGAAGCACUCAGUAAGGGUUUGUUGAAGUGAUCAAAUAAAUGAG
Equus asinus (donkey) is the source of this 2563-nucleotide long non-coding RNA. The record is from Ensembl. Lineage: Eukaryota; Metazoa; Chordata; Mammalia; Perissodactyla; Equidae.